Molecule: ribosomal RNA, 550 nt
Filed under: uncultured Bacteroidota bacterium
Lineage: Bacteria; Pseudomonadati; Bacteroidota
Description: bacterial SSU rRNA
Rfam family: Bacterial small subunit ribosomal RNA
Source: RNAcentral
GACGAACGCUGGCGGCGGGCUUAACACAUGCAAGUCGAAGGGGAUUCAGGAAGCUUGCUUCCUGAUGAGACUGGCGCACGGGUGAGUAACACGUAAGAAAUCUGGCUACAGGAGGGGGAUAACAUCGGGAAACCGGUGCUAAUACCGCAUGAUGCAGCGGGGCCGCAUGGCCACAGUUGUUAAAGGAGUAAUCCACCUGUAGAUGAUCUUGCGGGCCAUUAGUUAGUUGGUGAGGUAACGGCUCACCAAGGCGAUGAUGGCUAGGGGUUCUGAGAGGAUGAUCCCCCACACUGGAACUGAGACACGGUCCAGACUCCUACGGGAGGCAGCAGUGAGGAAUAUUGCGCAAUGGGCGAAAGCCUGACGCAGCCACGCCGCGUGCCGGAAGACGGUCCUAUGGAUUGUAAACGGCUUUUACCAGGGAAGAAUCAUCUCGAUUCGUCGGGAUCUGACGGUACCUGGUGAAUAAGCACCGGCUAACUCCGUGCCAGCAGCCGCGGUAAUACGGAGGGUGCAAGCGUUGUCCGGAAUCAUUGGGUGUAAAGGGUGC